UGGGGGAAUUUUGGACAAUGGGCGAAAGCCUGAUCCAGCAAUGCCGCGUGUGAAGAAGGCCUUCGGGUUGUAAAGCACUUUUGUCCGGAAAGAAAUCCUUGGCUCUAAUACAGUCGGGGGAUGACGGUACCGGAAGAAUAAGCACCGGCUAACUACGUGCCAGCAGCCGCGGUAAUACGUAGGGUGCAAGCGUUAAUCGGAAUUACUGGGCGUAAAGCGUGCGCAGGCGGUUUGCUAAGACCGAUGUGAAAUCCCCGGGCUCAACCUGGGAACUGCAUUGGUGACUGGCAGGCUAGAGUAUGGCAGAGGGGGGUAGAAUUCCACGUGUAGCAGUGAAAUGCGUAGAGAUGUGGAGGAAUACCGAUGGCGAAGGCAGCCCCCUGGGCCAAAUACUGACGCUCAUGCACGAAAAGCGUGGGGAGCAAAACAGGAUUAGAUACCCUGGUAGUCCACGCCCUAAAACGAUGUCAACUAGUUGUUGGGGAUUCAUUUCCUUAGUAACGUAGCUAACGCGUGAAGUUGAUCGCCUGGGGGAGUACGGUCGCAAGAUUAAAACUCAAAUGAAUUG
This 568-nucleotide ribosomal RNA is filed under the name uncultured bacterium. RNAcentral's name for it is "partial 16S ribosomal RNA". It matches the Rfam family "Bacterial small subunit ribosomal RNA", at positions 354 to 912 of the family's 1533-position model. The record is from RNAcentral.